CCUACGGGAGGCAGCAGUGGGGGAUAUUGCACAAUGGGGGAAACCCUGAUGCAGCGACGCCGCGUGGGUGAAGAAGCGCCUCGGCGCGUAAAGCCCUGUCAGCAGGGAAGAAAAUGACGGUACCUGAGGAAGAAGCCCCGGCCAACUACGUGCCAGCAGCCGCGGUCAUACGUAGGGGGCAAGCGGUAUCCGGAUUUACUGGGUGUAAAGGGGGCGCAGACGGGGAUGCAAGCCAGGAGUGAAAGCCCGGGGCUCAACCCCGGGACUGCUCUUGGAACUGCGUGGCUAGAGUGCAGGAGAGGCAGGCAGAAUGCCUGGUGUAGCGGUGAAAUGCGUAGAUAUCAGGAGGAACACCGGUGGCGAAGGCGGCCUGCUGGACUGCAACUGACGUUGAGGCCCGAAAGCGUGGGGAGCAAACAGGAUUAGAUACCCUAGUAGUC
This 440-nucleotide ribosomal RNA is filed under the name uncultured bacterium. RNAcentral's name for it is "partial 16S ribosomal RNA". It matches the Rfam family "Bacterial small subunit ribosomal RNA", at positions 338 to 795 of the family's 1533-position model. The record is from RNAcentral.